AGGACGAACGCUGGCGGCGUGCCUAACACAUGCAAGUCGAACGAAGUCUAAUCUGUAGCAAUACAGAGGAAAACUUAGUGGCGAACGGGUGAGUAGCACGUGAGCAACCUGCCCCGAAGACCGGGACAACACCGGGAAACCGGUGCUAAUACCGGAUAUCUCCACCGAGCCGCAUGGCUUGGUGAGGAAAUGGAUUCCGCUUUGGGAGGGGCUCGCGGCCUAUCAGCUUGUUGGUGAGGUAACGGCUCACCAAGGCUUCGACGGGUAGCUGGUCUGAGAGGACGAUCAGCCACACUGGGACUGAGACACGGCCAGACUCCUACGGGAGGCAGCAGUGGGGAAUCUUGCACAAUGGGCGAAAGCCUGAUGCAGCAACGCCGCGUGAGGGACGAAGGCUUUCUGAGUUGUAAACCUCUUUCAGCAGGGACGAUUGUGACGGUACCUGCAGAAGAAGCCCGGCCAACUACGUGCCAGCAGCCGCGGUAAU
RNAcentral lists this ribosomal RNA (487 nucleotides) under uncultured bacterium. RNAcentral describes it as "SSU rRNA". It matches the Rfam family "Bacterial small subunit ribosomal RNA", at positions 26 to 524 of the family's 1533-position model. The record is from RNAcentral.